RNAcentral lists this unclassified non-coding RNA (341 nucleotides) under Bombus terrestris (buff-tailed bumblebee). RNAcentral describes it as "misc RNA ENSBTSG00005031572.1". The record is from RNAcentral. Lineage: Eukaryota; Metazoa; Arthropoda; Insecta; Hymenoptera; Apidae.
CAUGAACACAUUAGAGAUAUUUAAAUAUUUUUUGGAUCAAUAAUUAUACCUUUGUCUUCCAUAAAACUUUGCCAUUUUACACAUUUUUAAAGGACAUCCGUCGAUUUAACAGAUUAUCUUCAUUUUGAAUGAUGUCGCAUUAAAAUUCGUUUAUUUUGUGGCGGCACUCGACAGCAAAUACCACUGGACGACAUCAACUAGUGUCGGACGGCGGCAGUGCAGUGGUUAGCGCCUUAGGUUACGAACGUUCGGGUCGCGGGUUCAAAUCCCGGCGAGCGUAGUCCGAUUUUUCUUCCACGAUACAAAAAUGAGAAGAAAAUGCAGCAGUACCCCAGCAGCGA